AAGUCGUAACAAGGUUUCCGUAGGUGAACCUGCGGAAGGAUCAUUACAUUCAGUAGCCUAGCUACUUGUUUAUACCCUUGUUUUUUGCGUACCUAUUGUUUCCUCGGCGGGGCUUGCUCGCCGACUGGACAAAAUCUAUAACCUUUUUAAAUCUUCAAUCAGCGUCUGAAUUAUACAUAAUAAUUACAACUUUCAACAACGGAUCUCUUGGUUCUG
RNAcentral lists this unclassified non-coding RNA (216 nucleotides) under air metagenome. RNAcentral's name for it is "partial contains small subunit ribosomal RNA, internal transcribed spacer 1, and 5.8S ribosomal RNA". The stretch from base 1 to 46 matches the Rfam family "Eukaryotic small subunit ribosomal RNA", at positions 1786 to 1831 of the family's 1831-position model. The record is from RNAcentral.